Molecule: ribosomal RNA, 382 nt
Filed under: uncultured bacterium
Lineage: Bacteria
Description: bacterial SSU rRNA
Rfam family: Bacterial small subunit ribosomal RNA
Source: RNAcentral
GACGAACGCUGGCGGCGUGCUUAACACAUGCAAGUCGAACGAGGCCUCGUCUUCGGGUGGGGUUCUAGUGGCGAACGGGUGAGUAACACGUGGGCAACCUGCCCCCGGCUCUGGGAUAACUCCAAGAAAUUGGGGCGUAAUACCGGAUAUGACCGCUGGCCGCAUGGUCUGGUGGUGGAAAGUUUUUCGGUCUGGGGAGUGGGCCCGCGGCCUAUCAGCUUGUUGGUGGGGUAGUGGCCUACCAAGGCGACGACGGGUAGCCGGCCUGAGAGGGUGACCGGCCACACUGGGACUGAGACACGGCCCAGACUCCUACGGGAGGCAGCAGUGGGGAAUAUUGCGCAAUGGGCGGAAGCCUGACGCAGCGACGCCGCGUGGGGAU